AUAUAUAUAUAUAAAGUUAAGAAUUCAAAUACAAUACAAUCAACAUUGAAUAUACUUGCAUUGCUUGUACAGUCUCUAAAUGGUCAUUUUUUUAACAUACUAUUCUAUCUAUUUUUUUUUUUAAAUAAUAUUUUUCUAUCUUUUCUUUUUUCUUUUUGAUCAUUUUACUUAUAUAUUUUUAUCUCCUUUGUACUUAUAGUAAGCCUUUAUAAACUUCCAAUUGCACUAUUACCUAACUCAACAUAUGUAGACACUAUCCUUACACAAAAAAUACACACUUGUUUGAAUAAAUUCAAUUUUAAAAUAUCAAAAUUAUUCGUUUUUAUUUGCCCUUUUUACCUUGAGCUUCAUCUUUCCUCUC
RNAcentral lists this long non-coding RNA (361 nucleotides) under Physcomitrium patens. RNAcentral describes it as "long non-coding RNA (PPAT_LNC005229)". The record is from RNAcentral. Lineage: Eukaryota; Viridiplantae; Streptophyta; Bryopsida; Funariales; Funariaceae.